AGAGUUUGAUCAUGGCUCAGAACGAACGCUGGCGGCAGGCCUAACACAUGCAAGUCGAGCGCCCCGCAAGGGGAGCGGCGGACGGGUGAGUAACGCGUGGGAACGUACCCCUUUCUACGGAAUAGCCUCGGGAAACUGGGAGUAAUACCGUAUAAGCCCUACGGGGGAAAGAUUUAUCGGGAAGGGAUCGGCCCGCGUUGGAUUAGGUAGUUGGUGGGGUAAUGGCCUACCAAGCCGACGAUCCAUAGCUGGUUUGAGAGGAUGAUCAACCACACUGGGACUGAGACACGGCCCAGACUCCUACGGGAGGCAGCAGUGGGGAAUCUUAGACAAUGGGCGCAAGCCUGAUCUAGCCAUGCCGCGUGAUCGAUGAAGGCCUUAGGGUUGUAAAGAUCUUUCAGUGGGGAAGAUAAUGACUGUACCCACAGAAGAG
Molecule: ribosomal RNA, 433 nt
Filed under: uncultured Rhodobacter sp.
Lineage: Bacteria; Pseudomonadati; Pseudomonadota; Alphaproteobacteria; Rhodobacterales
Description: bacterial SSU rRNA
Rfam family: Bacterial small subunit ribosomal RNA
Source: RNAcentral